AAAUGGAAGACUAAAAUUGACUGAUUUUACAGAAUUAGCUGACUCAGUUUCACCCAUUUGCAAUCUGCUUAUAAAAAAUUAUAAAUAAUUGACUCUAUUAAAUAGUCAAAUAAUAAUAUUUUGAUGAUUUAAAAAAAAAAAAGAAAAAGCGAAAGUUAAAAGUAAGACACCCAAGGAAAAAAAAAAAAAAAAGUUGUGGAAUAUCUAUGAUAAGUUAUCUUACUGUCUUAAUGAGAUCUUAUAUGUAGUAAUAAUGUAGAUAUGACAGAUUCAUCUUCACCCUUUUUGUUUGAAAAUGAUAUGAUAUUAUGUAAUAAUUUUUACAUGUUAAAUUCUUUUUCAUUUUUUAAAAUAAUGCAUAAAAAUCAUUCAAAAAAAAAAAAACCACAAUAAAACUAGAGCAUUUAAAAUCAACAAAAAUAGAAUUAUUAAAAUAACUGAUCAAAAUUUAAUAUAUUAAUAAAAAAUGAUGGAAACUAAAAAUUUUAUUCACCAUUACUAGUUAAAAAAAAAAAAUAGCAGCCCAAGUUAAAGUAUCAAUAGAACAAUACCCCCUAUUUAAUAAUUUCAUGACAAAUGCAUAAAUUCAUCAUUGUAUUUUUUACGUAAAAGAUUUUAUGACACCUUCAACUUUUAUUUUAAUCUAUUAAAACAAUUUAUAAAGUUGUACCAAUUACAUAUUUCAAGUUAUAAAAGUUAUUAUAUUGAAUAUUUAAACUUUUAAAAUUAUAUCAAUUAAAAAUUUAUUAGAUUGUUGAAAAAUGUGAAAAUUAUUAUUUUAAAAAUUAUACUAACCAUACAUUAAGUGAAUCUAUUACACAUAAAUAUUAAAAACACAAAAAAAUAUUAUUAUUAAUUUAGAGAAGAAUACAAUAUCAGUAAAAUUAAUAACUUUAAAAGCAUAAUAGAUCACUCAUAAAAUUAAUAAUACUAUAAAAUUUUUUCUGUAAAAUAUGAAAAUAUAUUUAUGCAUUUUAGCCUAUAUUUAUUAUUAACUAGGCACAGCUUAAAAUUGCCAAAUUGGACAUUCACGACAGUUUACAAAUGUUUAAUCGAGUAAUAGAUUGAUCAAAGCGAAAAAAAGGUGUAGUGAAUUUUGGUUUGGUUGUCGAGGGUGAGAGAUUGACCAGAGCAAGGAAAACAAUGGGCCUGAAAAAAAGCAAGGGUAAAAGAGUAAAAGCAGAAAGAUAUCACAGUCUCCAACGGCAGUACACCGUUACGUGCAAAAGAAUUCAAAAGGCAACUUGCGACAAUAUCGAUGAUACCCCUACCCACUACUUUCUAUACUUAACUUUCUUGCUGUUUUGCUAACCCCUACCCUUCAAUAAAACCCCUUGUCUCUGCCCUCUUUCUCACAUCUCACUCUCUUUAUCAAAACCCUUUCUGUUGAAAUCUCUCCUCUAUCUACUGUUCAAUCAUGUCUGCUUACACGGGCAAAUACGCCGGUAAACUCUCGAUUUUUCCUUGCUCUUUCUGUUUGUUUCCCUAGAUUCUUGUAGUUGUUAUGUCCUCUGAUUUUCCUGUUAGAUCUUAUCUUCGUAGUGCUGUCUAAUUUUAAUUUAAUUGCUUUUGUUAGAUUGUUUUUGUUCUUAGAUUAUUUGUUUAGAUCUCUUGUUCAACCAAUUACGGACAUUUUUUGUUAUCAGAAAAUGUUUUGUGGGUUAACAUCGGAAUCAGAUUCUACUUAUGAGGAUUUAUAGUUGAUUCUGAUCAUAUUGGAUGAGUAUAACAAGAAUAUUGUGUCAUUAAGCAGAUCUAUUUGCAUUUAAUCUGUUUAAUCGGAUCUCUUUCGAUAUCAGUAGUUUGUAAAACUAAAAUUUUAAGUCACAGUUUUGAUUAAGCUAAGAUUACUAAAUUUUUAAUGGAGAAGAUCUGAGAUUUGAUGGAUCUGAGCCUGGAGUUAAUGGCUGUAGCUAACUAGUUGCUACUGUUUCAUAACAUGCAUCAUAUGAUGUAUGCUAUGAUUGUAUUUUUUAUUUCUUGAUCUUCAUAAAGAUCUAUAUUAAUAUCAAGUUAAAUUCUAUUAUGUAUUUGUGUUUUAGAUAAGGUUGAUUGUGCAAGAGUAGAAUGGAUUAUGUUUUGUUAAACGAUUUUAUCUGCGGGGGAAUUAUUUCUUUCAUUAGUUUUCAAUUACUUUUAUUUGUUGUCUAAGUUGAUUUUUGAUUGGUAUUUGUUUUUUUGACGUGGAUCCAUGAUAUUUUGAUGGUUUUGUGCUUUCGUGAAUUUGCUAUUUUGAGGUUAUCUAAAAUCGUGUCCAAUUAAAAUUUCGCUCUCUUUGCAGAUGAGCUCAUCCGCAAUGCUGCCUACAUUGGCACCCCUGGGAAGGGUAUUCUUGCAGCUGAUGAAUCUACUGGAACUAUUGGCAAGCGCCUUGCCAGCAUAAAUGUUGAGAAUGUUGAGGAGAACAGGCGUGAUCUUCGUGAGCUCCUCUUCACAACUCCUGGAGCCCUCCAAUACCUCAGUGGAGUGAUUCUCUUUGAGGAAACCCUCUACCAGAAGAGUAAAUCAGGUAAUUUUCUUAAUGGGAUUUUCUGUUUUAUAUAUAUAUAUAUAUAUAUAUAUAUAUAUAUAUUCUUUUUAAUCCAAAUAUUUUGCAAGAAUGAUGUGUUCAUUAUCUGCUUGAUCUCAUUAUCUGAUGACUUUCUUUUUGCUUGAAUUGCUUUCUGAUUUGAAUGUUGCUGUGCAGGUAAACCUUUUGUUGAUAUUUUGAAGGAGGGUGGUGUCCUCCCUGGUAUUAAGGUCGACAAGGGUACUGUUGAGCUUGCCGGCACCAAUGGUGAGACUACCACCCAGGGUCUUGAUGGCCUUGCCCAACGAUGCCAGAAGUACUACGAAGCUGGUGCCCGAUUUGCCAAAUGGCGUGCUGUGCUUAAGAUUGGCCCUAAUGAACCAUCUCAGCUUUCCAUUAAUGAGAAUGCGAAUGGGUUGGCUAGGUAUGCCAUCAUCUGCCAGGAGAAUGGCUUGGUACCAAUUGUGGAGCCUGAGAUUUUGGUUGAUGGACCUCAUGACAUUAAGAAGUGCGCUGAUGUAACUGAGCGGGUUCUUGCUGCUUGCUACAAGGCUCUCAAUGACCACCAUGUUUUGCUUGAGGGAACUCUUUUGAAACCCAACAUGGUGACUCCAGGAUCAGAAUCCGCCAAGGUUGCACCAGAGGUGAUUGCUGAGUACACGGUCCGUGCCCUCCAAUGCACUGUGCCUGCCGCUGUUCCUGCUGUUGUGUUCUUGUCUGGUGGGCAGAGUGAGGAGGAAGCUACCGUCAACCUGAAUGCGAUGAACAAGCUCAAGACCAAGAAGCCAUGGUCCCUUUCCUUCUCAUUUGGACGUGCACUUCAACAAAGUACCCUCAAGGCUUGGGCAGGUAAGCCAGAGAAUGUGCAGAAGGCUCAAGCUGCAUUCCUGGUCAGGGCUA
RNAcentral lists this long non-coding RNA (3409 nucleotides) under Jatropha curcas. RNAcentral describes it as "long non-coding RNA (JCUR_LNC000708)". The record is from RNAcentral. Lineage: Eukaryota; Viridiplantae; Streptophyta; Magnoliopsida; Malpighiales; Euphorbiaceae.